UACGGAGGGAGCUAGCGUUGUUCGGAAUUACUGGGCGUAAAGCGCGCGUAGGCGGUUACUCAAGUCAGAGGUGAAAGCCCGGGGCUCAACCCCGGAACUGCCUUUGAAACUAGGUGACUAGAAUCUUGGAGAGGUCAGUGGAAUUCCGAGUGUAGAGGUGAAAUUCGUAGAUAUUCGGAAGAACACCAGUGGCGAAGGCGGCUCACUGGACCGGUAUUGACGCUGAGGUGCGAAAGCGUGGGGAGCAAACAGG
Molecule: ribosomal RNA, 253 nt
Filed under: uncultured bacterium
Lineage: Bacteria
Description: partial 16S ribosomal RNA
Rfam family: Bacterial small subunit ribosomal RNA
Source: RNAcentral